RNAcentral lists this ribosomal RNA (404 nucleotides) under uncultured bacterium. RNAcentral describes it as "bacterial SSU rRNA". It matches the Rfam family "Bacterial small subunit ribosomal RNA", at positions 355 to 775 of the family's 1533-position model. The record is from RNAcentral.
UAGGGAAUAUUGCAAAAUGGGCGCAAGCCCGAUGCAGCAACGCCGCGUGGGCGAUGAAGGCCUUCGGGUCGUAAGGCCCUUUUUGAGGGGAUGAGGAAGGACAGUACCCUCAGAAUAAGCCUCGGCUAACUACGUGCCAGCAGCCGCGGUAAAACGUAGGAGGCGAGCGUUAUCCGGAUUUACUGGGCGUAAAGCGCGUGCAGGCGGAUUGGAGAGGUGGAUGUGAAAGCUCCCGGCUUAACUGGGAGAGGUCGUUCAAUACUUCCAGUCGUGAGUGCAGUAGAGGGAAGUGGAAUUCCGGGUGAAGUGGUGAAAUGCGUAGAUAUCCGGAGGAACACCAGUGGCGAAAGCGGCUUCCUGGACUGUAACUGACGCUCAGACGCGAAAGCUAGGGUAGCAAACGG